AGUGAACGCUGGCGGCGUGCUUAACACAUGCAAGUCGAACGAGAACGGAAUAUAGCUUGCUAUAUUUUUCAGCUAAGUGGCGCACGGGUGAGUAAUGUAUAGAUAACCUGCCCUUAAGAAAGGAAUAACAGUUGGAAACGACUGCUAAUGCCCUAUAUGCCUUUAAUACAUAAGUAUGCAAGGGAAACGCUUUAGUGCUUAAGGAUGGGUCUGUAUGGUAUCAGCUUGUUGGUGAGGUAAUGGCUCACCAAUGCUAUGACGCCUAACUGGUUUGAGAGGAUGAUCGGACACACUGGAACUGAGACACGGUCCAGAAUCCGACGGGAGGCAGCAGUGGGGAAUAUUGCACAAUGGACGAAAGUCUGAUGCAGCAACGCCGCGUGGAGGAUGACACAUUUCGGUGCGUAAACUCCUUUUAUAUAGGAAGAUAAUGACGGUACUAUAUGAAUAAGCACCGGCUAACUCCGUGCCAGCCGCCGCGGUAA
This 485-nucleotide ribosomal RNA is filed under the name uncultured bacterium. Its description in RNAcentral is "partial 16S ribosomal RNA". It matches the Rfam family "Bacterial small subunit ribosomal RNA", at positions 29 to 523 of the family's 1533-position model. The record is from RNAcentral.